Acinonyx jubatus (cheetah) is the source of this 3025-nucleotide long non-coding RNA. RefSeq lists it as uncharacterized. The record is from RefSeq and is a predicted model, not a curated record. NCBI's taxonomy places the organism in Eukaryota, Metazoa, Chordata, Mammalia, Carnivora, Felidae. The transcript is spliced from 4 exons.
GGGAAGGCUUUAUGGUCAGAGUUGAGGCCUCAAUGCAGGACUAAUGACAAGUGUGACUAUACCAGAGCCGGGGGACCCACUACACUAAACCCUCAUCGUAUUUCAGUCGGGAUGUUACCAAAACAAUCUGCCAAGAUGGUUUCAAGAAAAGCCUCAUGCAAGUGUCAACAAAACCACAGCCCUGCCCUUGACCCGGACGGGAUUUCACCCUCCCGGGUCAGAUUAGUCCAGUGGCAGCUGGACACCUUCCCAAGCACCUAAGGCGGCCCCUGGAAUCCUGGCCCCUUUUCCUGGAGGAGGGGAGACGUGGCCUAAGCAGAGCACAGCCUGAAUGCAGCCAGAGCCAUCCCGCCAACCCGAGAUUUGCCGAGCCUACCGCAUAGAGGUCCAGCUCAGCCCGUCUUCAAGUGGAGAGAAGCUGCCACGUGGCCCCAUUGGUUGCUUCUGACAAAUCAGGGGAAAGGAAGAAGUAGAAGACGAAUGUGCACGUGACCUCAUCUGGCCCCGAGAUCGCCCACCGGUCUUGCCAAUGGACCUCAAACUCAGAGAAACCCAGGGAGGAGCACUCUUUGCCGUAGGAACCAAGAGAUGCAGCUGUGUUGAGAACAUACUAGAGGAAAGCAGGGGUCAAGCAGGCGGACGCACAACAGAAAGGCUGGUGGGAGGCUGCUGACACGUGCUCUCGUGUGUAAACACAAGGAGGCGGCAGAAUUGGAGGCGGCUGGGCACCUGAAGUGAGCCUGCAGCUUGGAGUGACCCGGGGCAGGAGGGCCAAACCCCAGCUCUGCCCUUCAGCCCCACACAGACAGGACUGAGCAGAAGGACCGGUUUGGAAGCAUCCCCUGAGACAGGAGGGACGGUGGGCGAUCUCCCUUCUCUCUGGGGCUGGAGGUUCACCGGGUCACCUUCGAGCCUGCAUCAGUGCCAUCACCAAGAGCACCUGGCCUACUCCCCACCAGCCCACGGCGUUCGGAACGAACGGGGAGUUGCGCUUCUGAGUUCUGAGAUUUUCCGCUCGUAGGCAACCAGAGAAAACUUUUGGAGCCAAGGUGCAGUAUCGGCCUCCCACCCAACCGUCCCAUCCCCACGCUGGAUGCUGGCAUUGUUCUCCGUGUCUCUGGGCACCUCGUGCCAGCACCUCACCAACCAAAACAGAAAGAGUUGACUCAAGGGCCGGUCCCUUGAGCACAGGGAACCAAAUCAUGCCCCCAAAUCAUGGGCGGCAUGGCCACUAUGCCUUUGAGUUGAAGACAAGCUCUGUGGGGUUGUGCUUCCAAAUCAGGAUCCAGGGGACAGAGUCCUGUCCUAUCUCCCCUGUAAGAUGAGACAGGGAGGCUCCGGUCCUACCCCAUUCCUCCACCGCCAGGGAGCCGGAGUCCCACACGGCCCGUCCUGUUCCUUCUCUGAUCUCACAGUUGUCCCUCCACGUUCCCCUCUCCCAUUCACCCAGCUCCAGCCUCCCAAUCCCUGCUGCCCUUCCGAAGCUGCCAGGCACGACCCCCUCGGGGACACUGCACCUGCUACUCCGUCAGUCCCCAGAUGUCUGCCCGGCUCACUCCCUCCCUUCCUGGGGCUCCCCCCAAACAGUAUGUAGCCUUCCCGGCUGCCCUUCUCCUAUGCUCUGUACCCCCGACCCCUUCACCUCCUCUCAGGGCACAGGCCACCCUCUGAGACAUCCCCAAGCUCACCUACUCAUCCUGUCGACUGCCUGAACCCCUCCUCGUGCUAGAAUAUAAACUCCAGGAAGGCAAAGGUCUGUGACUGUUUUAACGGCUGUGUCCCAGCACCCAGGACAGCACCUGGCCCACACUGAGUGCUUAAUAAACAUUCAUGAGAUAAGUAAACACUUUGAAAAGCCAAUUGCAUCUUAUUGGCUGUUAAUUGUUUCUUUGAAAACCAGGGACACGAAAUAAAGAUGAAGUGUAAGGGUGACUGUGGGAUGCGUCAUCACACUGCCCAGAACCGAAGACCCGAAGACCCGUGUGGAGGUGCUGGGGGGCGCCCAGCAGAGGGCCGGGCCUUCCUAAAUCAGCCUCCUCAGCAUCAGGUUCGUGGCACACUGGCCCUUCUGACCAGACAGCCUUCCUCUGGACUGUUGACAUUGAGCCCGUCUGGAUCUUCAGCUUGGGCCAAGACUCGAAACCAACACUCAGGGCACGUGUGACCGCCCCCCCCCCCCCCCACACACACACACUCCAAAUGUGCUGUGCUUGCUAGUCGGGAGGAUAGCUGAUUUGGGGUGUCAAGUUAGCCAACUGACAUUCGAGGACAGUCUCCUCGCGUACGAUGUCAGGGAGCCGCCGGUUAAAAUGAAGCCACGCGUUGCACGUUCCUGAGUCAGCUCGGGUCUAGGGAGAUUUGGCCUCUCCGUAACUUUAAUUUUAAGCUAAUUCCUAAAGCUGGAGGAGAUUUGCAACACAGGCUGAUGGAUCAUCGCAAAGUCUCAAAAGUCCUGUGAACACUUUCAAAUGCAUUUGGGGAAGGCCUUAUCGCAAAGCUCAGCUUCAACUGGCCAAACCCCCAAGGAAGACACGGGCCCGUUCGAGGACAGCAAGUGCACGCACCCACGGGACAUAUGCCCGUGUGUGAGGCAAGCCAGCGUCCCAGCGACAAGCGAACCGGCCGCCUUGUGACUCGGGAGCAGCUGAGAGGGCAAGAGGAAGGCAAGAACUUGCUGGGGGGCCACUCAGAGAGCCCGGGGGGUGGGGGUGGGGGGCGGGAAUCACUGCUUUGCUCACAGAGCUCGAAGCCUGGGAGAACCCACCGGUGGCCUGGAAAGAGCCCCUCCACGCAGGAGCAGGGCUCACCACGCCCUGGCCACGAGGCUGCACCGAAGCACACAGAAGACUCUCCCCUCCCCCGAGAAGACCCAUUCCUGCAAGUCUUAGUUUACUAAUUCCAUCAAAUAUUAAACUUUUAAUUGUAUUUUGUUUUUCAAAUGACUCCCGCUGUGACUAUCUAGUUAGCGCUGGCCUCACUCGCGUAAUUACCUGGACUUUCCAAGUGCAGUGUUAUUUUACCUUGG